RNAcentral lists this ribosomal RNA (492 nucleotides) under uncultured bacterium. Its description in RNAcentral is "partial 16S ribosomal RNA". It matches the Rfam family "Bacterial small subunit ribosomal RNA", at positions 29 to 507 of the family's 1533-position model. The record is from RNAcentral.
AGUGAACGCUGGCGGUAGGCCUAACACAUGCAAGUCGAACGGCAGCACAGUAAGAGCUUGCUCUUACGGGUGGCGAGUGGCGGACGGGUGAGGAAUACAUCGGAAUCUACUUUUUCGUGGGGGAUAACGUAGGGAAACUUACGCUAAUACCGCAUACGACCUACGGGUGAAAGCAGGGGAUCUUCGGACCUUGCGCGAUUGAAUGAGCCGAUGUCGGAUUAGCUAGUUGGCGGGGUAAAGGCCCACCAAGGCGACGAUCCGUAGCUGGUCUGAGAGGAUGAACAGCCACACUGGAACUGAGGCACGGUCCAGACUCCUACGGGAGGCAGCAGUGGGGAAUAUUGGACAAUGGGCGAAAGCCUGAUCCAGCCAUACCGCGUGGGUGAAGAAGGCCUUCGGGUUGUAAAGCCCUUUUGUUGGGAAAGAAAAGCAGCAGGUUAAUACCCCGCUGUUCUGACGGUACCCAAAGAAUAAGCACCGGCUAACUUCGUG